CGGACGGGUGAGUAAUGUCUGGGAAACUGCCCGAUGGAGGGGGAUAACUACUGGAAAGGUAGCUAAUACCGCAUAACGUCGCAAGACCAAAGAGGGGGACCUUCGGGCCUCUUGCCAUCGGAUGUGCCCAGAUGGGAUUAGCUAGUAGGUGGGAUAACGGCUCACCUAGGCGACGAUCCCUAGCUGGUCUGAGAGGAUGACCAGCCACACUGGAACUGAGACACGGUCCAG
RNAcentral lists this ribosomal RNA (231 nucleotides) under uncultured bacterium. RNAcentral describes it as "partial 16S ribosomal RNA". It matches the Rfam family "Bacterial small subunit ribosomal RNA", at positions 99 to 334 of the family's 1533-position model. The record is from RNAcentral.